RNAcentral lists this non-coding RNA (97 nucleotides) under unclassified sequences. Its description in RNAcentral is "PhotoRC-II RNA". It matches the Rfam family "PhotoRC-II RNA". The record is from RNAcentral.
UUGCUCAUAUAUUUCCCCUGACCAAGACUAAACGGGGUUAUAAUUAGUCUUCAUCAUGCCUAUAGAUGCAAGGGUACUAUAGGAAAUCAAGUUCUGC